Long non-coding RNA from Bos taurus (domestic cattle), 1439 nucleotides. Lineage: Eukaryota; Metazoa; Chordata; Mammalia; Artiodactyla; Bovidae. The record is from Ensembl.
GUCCUAACCACUGGACUACCAGGGAAUUCCCCUGAUGUUCCCAUUCUGCAGGUGAGAAGACUGAGGCUGGCAGGGGACUCACUCACCAGGACUCGUGGCCAAACUAAUGCACCACUCAUGGUUUUUCUCUGAGUCUGCCUUUAAAAACGCAUAAGAGUUGCGGCAUUAACACACAUGAUUUCACACACCUGGAUAUCUUUCUACUUUAAAAAAUGGCCCUCCCUAACUUGAUUGCUUUACUGAAAUCUAUUCUUUACCCCUUAUAAAAAGAAGUCCCAUUUUUCAGCGACUGAACUGCUUCUAGCUACUUUUUCUCUUUCCAGCUGAUGGAGGCAGAAGCACUGAGCAUCUCAGGGAGGCUGAGUUCCUGGUGCAGGAAUGGUACAGGUGCUUGUGGGUGUAGUAGUCACAGAAAUCAAGCCCCUGGUAACUGCAGACCUGCCGUUGUCAAUUCCUGCCUUCGCAGUAUCUGCUGGCAGCCCUGACAGCAAUGGCUUCAUCAGGACUUUUCUGUGUCACGGUUUCUGGAGUUGCUUGCUGCUGGGAACCCUGAUUCAUCCAGGCCCUCACUGGACACACAGCUCCAGCAGGGAUCCCUCCAGAGCACAGAGAACCAUCCCAGCCAUCCUGCUUCUACUGACGAAGCCUGGACCCAGAUUAACUCUCCUGAGUGACCAUGCCACACACCUGACUCACAUUAAAUUUAACGGUCAACUGAAACCCUCACACUUCUGGGGCAGGGACUCACUCCCUGGUCCAGGGAAUUUCUAGGAAAACAGACUUUAUGUAGUUCCUUAUUACUUGUUCAAUGGAAAAUGGUGUCUGAGCUUCCCCCCACCCCCAACCACGAUAUUUAAUGUAUGAGAGUGAUGCCUUUGAAGUGCUGAAAAAGUGCAGUCAUUCCCUUGACAAGGAAAGGGAGGAAUUAUGGAUGAAAUCCUGCCCCCUCCCUCCCCUGCAGCACAUGCUGUCGGAGUCUCAAGGUCACCCGGCAGCCGUCUCAGGCAGAUGCUUCUCUCUUCCCUCUUCACUAUCAAAGUGUUUUCAAGGGAACCACAGAAGGGACAGCUGCCUUUGAUUGUUCCCUUCUUGAUCCUCCUGGGUCCCUAACCACUCCCAGGGGUCUCCGUGAGUGCAGAAAGAGGCCUCAUAAAACAGCCUUAAAAUAAACAAGAAUUUUCUCCUUUUCUUCUACUGCCUGCCCUGAAGGAAAAAGGGAAAAGAAAAGCGAGGGAGAGGGUGGGUGUUUGAUGGCAGAGAGGAGAGUCCCUUAUGCAUCUUACAACAUCAGUAAACACCUGUGAGAUAAAUACAUUUGAUUUAGACCCAACGUAGAUCAGGAAAAAGGGAGGGUAGUAUGAAGUUCUGUGCAAAUAAUUCCUUAGGGAUAAUUCUGAAACCACCUAGAAAAACAGAAUUUGAAAUGAUUUCCCCAGAUG